UAAAGCAAAUUUGACUGGCAGUUUUGCGAAUGGCAAAAAUCUAAAUGCUGUUUGUCAGCAACUUCAACUUAUAUUCCAAGUGAAAACAAUUAAUUAAACGUUUAAUAAAAAUUAAUCAAAAUAAAACUACAUGGGGGAUUAUUCAGGGUAUUCCAACUAAGUUGCACCAAAAGGGUAUCUUACUACACAAAAUUAAUCCUUGAUUCUUCAAAGUUUAGUUUAGCCAUAAUAAGUAUAUAACAGCAAAAGAAUGUCACAAACAGUGCAGAAUAAGUCUGUUCACAUUUCAGGCGAAAUUUAUACUGUUGAGAUAGUGUCAAGACAUAUUUAAGACUGUCAAGAAUGUGUCGAGACAUAUU
Molecule: long non-coding RNA, 359 nt
Filed under: Mytilus galloprovincialis (Mediterranean mussel)
Lineage: Eukaryota; Metazoa; Mollusca; Bivalvia; Mytilida; Mytilidae
Source: RNAcentral